Molecule: ribosomal RNA, 800 nt
Filed under: Microbacterium flavescens
Lineage: Bacteria; Bacillati; Actinomycetota; Actinomycetes; Micrococcales; Microbacteriaceae
Description: bacterial SSU rRNA
Rfam family: Bacterial small subunit ribosomal RNA
Source: RNAcentral
GGGUUCUGGCGCGUGCUUACCAUGCAAGUCGAACGGUGAAGGUGGAGCUUGCUCUGCUGGAUCAGUGGCGAACGGGUGAGUAACACGUGAGCAAUCUGCCCCUGACUCUGGGAUAAGCGCUGGAAACGGCGUCUAAUACUGGAUACGAACCACGGAGGCAUCUUCGGUGGUUGGAAAGAUUUUUCGGUCUGGGAUGAGCUCGCGGCCUAUCAGCUUGUUGGUGAGGUAAUGGCUCACCAAGGCGUCAACGGGUAGCCGGCCUGAGAGGGUGACCGGCCACACUGGGACUGAGACACGGCCCAGACUCCUACGGGAGGCAGCAGUGGGGAAUAUUGCACAAUGGGCGCAAGCCUGAUGCAGCAACGCCGCGUGAGGGAUGACGGCCUUCGGGUUGUAAACCUCUUUUAGCAGGGAAGAAGCGAAAGUGACGGUACCUGCAGAAAAAGCGCCGGCUAACUACGUGCCAGCAGCCGCGGUAAUACGUAGGGCGCAAGCGUUAUCCGGAAUUAUUGGGCGUAAAGAGCUCGUAGGCGGUUUGUCGCGUCUGCUGUGAAAUCCCGAGGCUCAACCUCGGGCCUGCAGUGGGUACGGGCAGACUAGAGUGCGGUAGGGGAGAUUGGAAUUCCUGGUGUAGCGGUGGAAUGCGCAGAUAUCAGGAGGAACACCGAUGGCGAAGGCAGAUCUCUGGGCCGUAACUGACGCUCAGGAGCGAAAGGGUGGGGAGCAAACAGGCUUAGAUACCCUGGUAGUCCACCCCGUAAACGUUGGGAACUAGUUGUGGGGUCCAUUCCACGGAUUCC